GGGAGGAGAGCCUGGCAGACAGAGCUCUGGGCCUGACCUUUGCUUCAUUCUUCAUGGCUGCCAAGUGAGAGUGUGGCCCCUGCAGAUGGUUGGAUCAUCCAUCCAGUUCUUUGCUUCCUCUAGCUGAUAUCCUUCUUUGCUGUACUAUAUGGGAAAAGCAAGAAAUAUUUGACACCAAAAUUGCUUCCUUUGUGUGGCCCCGUAUUGCCCUGUAUAGAAGCAUUUCGUCUUCACAACAACUCUAUGAGGU
Molecule: long non-coding RNA, 250 nt
Filed under: Homo sapiens (human)
Lineage: Eukaryota; Metazoa; Chordata; Mammalia; Primates; Hominidae
Description: HSALNT0374637
Source: RNAcentral